RNAcentral lists this ribosomal RNA (429 nucleotides) under Acidobacteriota bacterium. Its description in RNAcentral is "Acidobacteria bacterium partial 16S ribosomal RNA". It matches the Rfam family "Bacterial small subunit ribosomal RNA", at positions 355 to 776 of the family's 1533-position model. Lineage: Bacteria; Pseudomonadati; Acidobacteriota. The record is from RNAcentral.
UGGGGAAUUUUGGACAAUGGGGGAAACCCUGAUCCAGCCAUCCCGCGUGUGCGAUGAAGGCCUUCGGGUUGUAAAGCACUUUUGGCAGGAAAGAAACGUCAUGGGUUAAUACCCCGUGAAACUGACGGUACCUGCAGAAUAAGCACCGGCUAACUACGUGCCAGCAGCCGCGGUAAUACGUAGGGUGCAAGCGUUAAUCGGAAUUACUGGGCGUAAAGCGUGCGCAGGCGGUUCGGAAAGAAAGAUGUGAAAUCCCAGAGCUCAACUUUGGAACUGCAUUUUUAACUACCUGGCUAGAGUGUGUCAGAGGGAGGUGGAAUUCCGCGUGUAGCAGUGAAAUGCGUAGAUAUGCGGAGGAACACCGAUGGAGAAGUCAGCCUCCUGGGAUAACGCUGACGCUGAUGAAAGAAAGCGUGGGGAGCAAACAGG